This 1420-nucleotide ribosomal RNA is filed under the name human gut metagenome. RNAcentral describes it as "bacterial LSU rRNA". It matches the Rfam family "Bacterial large subunit ribosomal RNA", at positions 901 to 2351 of the family's 2925-position model. The record is from RNAcentral.
GGUAGAGCACUGAAUUUCCUAGGGGGCGUCAAAGCCUACCGAAGAAUAUCAAACUCCGAAUGCCGUGUAGAUAUCACCGGGAGUCAGACUGCACGAGAUAAGUUGGGCGGUCAAAAGGGAAAGAGCCCAGACCUACAGUUAAGGUCCCAAAGUGCGCGUUAAGUGGAAAAGGAUGUGGGAUUUCGAAGACAACCAGGAUGUUGGCUCAGAAGCAGCCAUACAUUCAAAGAGUGCGUAAUAGCUCACUGGUCGAGAGGUCCUGCGCCGAAAAUGUCCGGGGCUGAAACGCGCCACCGAAACUAAGGAACCGAAAGGUUGGUAGAGGAGCAUUGCAUGCGGGAAGAAGCAGUACCGUAAGGAGCUGUGGACUGCAUGGAAGAGAGAAUGCCGGAAUGAGUAGCGAGAUAGAGGUGGGAAUCCUCUAGGCCGAAUAUCCAAGGUUUCCAGGGUAAAGCUGAUCUGCCCUGGGUGAGUCGGGACCUAAGGUGAGGGCGAGAGCCGUAGCCGAUGGACAACAGGUUGAUAUUCCUGUACUGCAGUAUGACAGAACUGUGGGGACACGUAAGGAGAGCGGGAGCCGGGAAUGGAAAGCCCGGUACAAGCGAGGUACCAGUCACAUAGGAAAAUCCGUGUGGCAAUGGGAAGACGUGAUGUGGAGCGAAGAUUAGUAGCGAAGCCCGUGAGCCAUGCGUCAAGAAAAGCCGCUAUCGUUCAUAUUGUACCCGUACCGUAAACCGACACAGGUGGAUGAGGAGAGAAUCCUAAGGCCGGCGGAAGAAGCAUUGUUAAGGAACUCGGCAAAAUGACCCCGUAACUUCGGGAGAAGGGGUGCUCCAGAGAUGGAGCCGCAGAGAACUGGCCCAAGCAACUGUUUAGCAAAAACACAGGUCUAUGCAAAACCGAAAGGUGAGGUAUAUGGGCUGACGCCUGCCCGGUGCUGGAAGGUUAAGAGGAGAGGUUAGCGCAAGCGAAGCUUUGAAUUUAAGCCCCAGUAAACGGCGGCCGUAACUAUAACGGUCCUAAGGUAGCGAAAUUCCUUGUCGGGUAAGUUCCGACCCGCACGAAAGGCGUAAUGAUUUGGGCACUGUCUCGACAAUGCACCCGGUGAAAUUGAAAUACCAGUGAAGAUGCUGGUUACCUGCGCCAGGACGGAAAGACCCCAUGGAGCUUUACUCUAGCUUGAUACUGGGGUUCGGUAUUGCAUGUACAGGAUAGGUGGGAGACUGAGAAGAUGUGUCGCCAGAUGCAUCAGAGUCGAUGUUGGGAUACCACCCCUGCAGUACUGGGCUUCUAACCUGCAGCCGUGACCCGGCUGGGGGACAAUGUCUGGUGGGGAGUUUGACUGGGGCGGUCGCCUCCGAAAGAGUAUCGGAGGCGCUCAAAGGUUCCCUCAGAAUGGUUGGAAACCAUUCGAAGAGUG